UAGGGAAUCUUCCACAAUGGACGCAAGUCUGAUGGAGCAACGCCGCGUGAGUGAAGAAGGGUUUCGGCUCGUAAAGCUCUGUUGUUAAAGAAGAACACGUAUGAGAGUAACUGUUCAUACGUUGACGGUAUUUAACCAGAAAGUCACGGCUAACUACGUGCCUG
This 164-nucleotide ribosomal RNA is filed under the name uncultured bacterium. RNAcentral's name for it is "partial 16S rRNA". It matches the Rfam family "Bacterial small subunit ribosomal RNA", at positions 355 to 511 of the family's 1533-position model. The record is from RNAcentral.